Molecule: long non-coding RNA, 396 nt
Filed under: Capra hircus (goat)
Lineage: Eukaryota; Metazoa; Chordata; Mammalia; Artiodactyla; Bovidae
Description: lncRNA (ENSCHIG00000005186.1)
Source: RNAcentral
CACAAACUUAAAAACAUUGAGAAUUACUGCUUUAGAUUAAAAUGUCACAGAAGAGGACCAGACUAGACUUAUUGGACCCAGCACUGGAGAAUUUACAGGAAGACAUUGAACUUAAUUGCUAUAUGCUCUGAAUAUAAAUUCAGCCAAUUUUGUCCUAAUUCAAGCAUCAUUUUUCAGCUCAUGAAUAAUUUAUUUAUUUAAGCCACCACCUCUCAUAAGCAAAGUGAUGCAAUAUAAGCACAAUGCUCAUCAAGUAUAAUAACCAUCACUGCAAACAAGAUGCUUCCUGCAGCUUACCUUCUGGGCAAGUGGAUAAAGAACUGCUUGAAGACAUGAUGGCUAUUUCUGAUUUUCUGACUUGUGUGAGUUAUUUAAGUUAAGAAGAAAGUUCAGAAG